UCAGACUGAAAAUGGUCUCAGGUGUGACAGUGAUCUGGGGUCAGAUAACUGAGCCUAAAUUAUUUUGGCACGUUAAGCUUAUCGCCUGCUUACCUGUUGGCAAGGUGAUAAAACCCAUGUGCCGACAAUA
Cheilinus undulatus (humphead wrasse) is the source of this 130-nucleotide small nucleolar RNA. RefSeq annotates it as small nucleolar RNA ACA64. NCBI's taxonomy places the organism in Eukaryota, Metazoa, Chordata, Actinopteri, Labriformes, Labridae. The transcript has a single exon. The record is from RefSeq and is a predicted model, not a curated record.